Molecule: ribosomal RNA, 297 nt
Filed under: uncultured bacterium
Lineage: Bacteria
Description: partial 16S ribosomal RNA
Rfam family: Bacterial small subunit ribosomal RNA
Source: RNAcentral
CUAGCCUACGGGAGGCAGCAGUGAGGAAUAUUGGUCAAUGGGCGCAAGCCUGAACCAGCCAAGUCGCGUGAGGGAUGACGGUCCUAUGGAUUGUAAACCUCUUUUGUCGGGGAGCAAGGCCCGCCACGUGUGGCGGGAAGGAGAGUACCCGAAGAAAAAGCAUCGACUAACUCCGUGCCAGCAGCCGCGGUAAUACGGAGGAUGCGAGCGUUAUCCGGAUUUAUUGGGUUUAAAGGGUGCGUAGGCGGGAGGUUAAGUCAGCGGUCAACUGUCGGGGCUCAACACCGGCCUGCCGUU